This 1243-nucleotide long non-coding RNA is filed under the name Heterocephalus glaber (naked mole-rat). Its description in RNAcentral is "lncRNA (ENSHGLG00000045704.1)". The record is from RNAcentral. Lineage: Eukaryota; Metazoa; Chordata; Mammalia; Rodentia; Bathyergidae.
CUUAAGCCAAUGCACAUUUAUAGAACAAUUCCAUGUGAUCCUGAGGAAGGCGGACUUCAGGCGGAGGGCAGUGCUGAAAAGUUGUAAUCUCGAGAGAGAGGACUCUUCCCUCUUGCUGCUCUUCAUGCUAAGAGGACACUGGUGGCCUCUGAAAACAUUCUGACGGACACUGGGCACCCUGAGUCACCAUGGGCAAUGAGAACAGCACCUUGGACCACCAGAGGACUUCAUCAGCUCAGAGUCCAAGAUCCAUGCAGCCACCUGGGGAAAAGAAGCACGGAGAUUCUCCCAGAAGCCCUGACGGUGGGGACUUGUCCAGGUAGGGAGCCGGCUAGGAGGGUGGACACAGCCCAAGGCAUGGCCAGCUCACUGCCUGCUUCAGCAUUUGCUUUGCUCGAUUGGCUUGGGGAAAUUUACCAUUAAAUACAUGAGAUGAUUCUAAGUGUUGAGAUGUUGAAGCAAUGGUUCUUACCCCUCUGUGUGACUGACUAAGCUUGCAAUGAUUGGAAAAUUCAUAGGGUUUUUUUCUGCCCUAAGAUUAAAUUAGUAAUUAUAGACUUCCAUUACAGCAGCACUCCAGACUGUUUAACUUCAUAGUCAACUGAAAAUGGGAAAGAUCAAGGCUUCCAAGGGGCUUAAUCUGAGGCCAAGUGGGGUGUGUGUUCCAGAGAGCAGGCUAUGUUGGCACUGGACCGUGAAACAGAGGAUUCAGACAGCAGUUCCUCAAGCCAAGGAGCCUGGUGGAUUAAUUCCAGAAGUCAACAAGACCACACGGUGGCAAUGGAACAUGGCCAGCACAGAUGUGGCUCAUUCAUCAGUGGUUCCUCAUUAUGGUCCACAGCCAGGCCCUGGUUUCCUGCCAUGGCUCCCUGCAGGAACUCUCUCCGCAAAGAAUCACCUCUCAUUGGCAUGCAAAUUGAGAAUAAAAGAAGUGCCUUCCAAGAACAAGCCUAAAGAAGCAACUUCCUGUUCACAAUUGAAAACAGGAUUGUCCUCAAUAAAUGUGUACAUGUCCACAGUGCAAGGCCCUGUGCCUAGUAACUCAGACACUAUUGAGAACAGGCGGCCUCCCUCCUCUCCAGGGAUUUGCGCUGAGUCUGUCCUGAAGUUGAGAUGUUUGUAGGAGAGAUGGGGCACAGCUCCUGAGUCAUGCCAGCCUUAGCAUUAACCAAAGAUAACAAUAGCAUUUAAUGUUCAUUCUGCAUCUGGGUGCCAGACAUCAUGACAAAUGUUAUAUGUGUAC